This 1301-nucleotide long non-coding RNA is filed under the name Papio anubis (olive baboon). RNAcentral's name for it is "lncRNA (ENSPANG00000040359.1)". The record is from RNAcentral. Lineage: Eukaryota; Metazoa; Chordata; Mammalia; Primates; Cercopithecidae.
AUGAAUGUGUCUUUUGUCCAGCUCGGCCGCCUCGGAUCUCACUGCCACCGGCCUUCACGCACACCCUCGCCACCAGCCUUUGCCCCGUCAGCCUCAGCCCCAGCUCAUUCUCUCAGGCAGUCCCAGCAUUGGCAUGGUACCUCCUCCCGCCGUGGGCCUCACGUCUCUGCUCCCUGUCAACCCUACUGCCAUCAGCAUCACCACAAGCGACUUGUCUGCCCAGGAGGAUGCAACACCAUCUACCUCUACCGGCCACCUUUCAGUGUUUUCUGCUUUCCAAGUAAAGACACCAGCAGUGCCCUCAGAGCGGACCAGCCAGAGAUUUUCCGAAGCCUCCCAUAUAGGCUCCUCCGUGGAGGAGGCCUGAGAUGCUGUCAUGACUUUGGAGCCAGGGUGGCCGACCACCUUGGCCUGGCCAUCUUUGGGGUGGGCUUUGGGAGCCCAGCACUGCUGCCGAGUGUGGUGGAUGAGAACGGCUGCUGCUUGCUGUACGUGGUGGAGCUGUGUGGCGUGGAGCGAGCCUUCAGAGCUGAGCAUUUGACCAACACCAGAGUGGUUCGGGAACAGGAUGCGGACAUUGUCCUCAACGACCAGCGCGUCUCUGGAGUAGUUGUCUGCUCCCCGCCGGAGGCAGCUUCUGAAAUCGUGAUGCAUGCUCUCCGAGCAGGGAAGGGGGUGCUUUGCGAGAGGCUGCCGAGUUUGAAUUGUCAGGCUGCCCAGUCCUGCUUCGACGAAGCCGACGGACGUGGAAAGCCUUUGGUCUGUGGAUUUUACAACUCCUCUCCCAGGCGCUUUGAUCCGGCUUUCCAGUUCUUGCACAAACAAGUUUGUGUCGGCCACGCCCUGGGGAGGAUCCACGGGAUCACCGCCAUCAGCAGCCUGUUCCCAGCAGCCUCUCUGGCUUCCCUAAAGAGGGCAGGUGGGAUUUUCCACAACGCUGCUGUGCGCGGCGUGGAUGCCACAUGCAUGUUGCUGGGGGACGCCACUUCGGACACUGUUUUCUCUGGGACAUGCCUUCUGCCCAGAUAUGGCUGCCUUAAAAGAUGCAGACACUGUUAUGAUCAGCAUGAAGUUUCCCUGUGGGGCUAUGGUCAGCGUGGACGUCAGCCAGCACCGUACAGACAGCUGUGACCAGGGAUUGGAGGUGCGUGGGUCCCAAGGCGCGCUGCAGAUGGAGAAUCAGAAUCCCUUGGGCAUCACCGGGCGGGGCACGUCCCUGUCCCUCGGCUCCCAGACCCAGGCUAGCCGCUACCAGGACUCGUAUCGAGAGCUCUUCAGCUACUUUGUCAGAACCCUUAAAG